CUUUUUUUUUGCCCUAUAUCACAUAAUUAUGAAAACACAUUACAUAGAUAGGGAAUACUGUGCUUGUGUACACGUUUGAAUGUGUAGGUGGCACACUCAGAACGAUUGUCUCUAGAUUUUUUUUUUUAAAUUCGUCCCGGCCUUUCCGGGUUCACGUAGCAACACGUUUCUUUCCUUUCCAGCUAUUCCUGAUUAUGAAUAAAUCCAAAACAUGCAUUUAUCCCAAAGCAACAACUAUUAAACAACUCACCUAUACCAAUGGUGAUCGUCUAAUUCCUAGCUGAUUCCUUUAAUCGUACCUUUCUUGACGACACCCAUCGUUGUAGCGUCUACCAUUGGAGGUAGCGAAAUUACAUGAUUUGA
This 363-nucleotide long non-coding RNA is filed under the name Mytilus galloprovincialis (Mediterranean mussel). The record is from RNAcentral. Lineage: Eukaryota; Metazoa; Mollusca; Bivalvia; Mytilida; Mytilidae.